GACGAACGCUGGCGGCGUGCCUAAUACAUGCAAGUAGAACGCUGAAGAGAGGAGCUUGCUCUUCUUGGAUGAGUUGCGAACGGGUGAGUAACGCGUAGGUAACCUGCCUGGUAGCGGGGGAUAACUAUUGGAAACGAUAGCUAAUACCGCAUAAAAUUGAUUAUUGCAUGAUACUUAAUUGAAAGAUGCAACUGCAUCACUACCAGAUGGACCUGCGUUGUAUUAGCUAGUUGGUGAGGUAACGGCUCACCAAGGCGACGAUACAUGGCCGACCUGAGAGGGUGAUCGGCCACACUGGGACUGAGACACGGCCCAGACUCCUACGGGAGGCAGCAGUAGGGAAUCUUCGGCAAUGGGGGGAACCCUGACCGAGCAACGCCGCGUGAGGGAAGAAGGUUUUCGGAUCGUAAAGCUCUGUUGUAAGAGAAGAACGGGUGUGAGAGUGGAAAGUGCACACUGUGACGGUAUCUUACCAGAAAGGGACGGCUAACUACGUG
This 497-nucleotide ribosomal RNA is filed under the name uncultured bacterium. RNAcentral describes it as "partial 16S ribosomal RNA". It matches the Rfam family "Bacterial small subunit ribosomal RNA", at positions 28 to 507 of the family's 1533-position model. The record is from RNAcentral.